GAGACCUGAUGGUCAAGAAUAAGAGGAUCAAUUAAGAUGAAGAGUAACAAUUGAGCGAACAGAGCAACUGUGAAAUUAGCUAGUUGAAAAACAGUCCUGGAUGUAGUUGGCAUGCAUAACUUUCUGUCAGCAAAGUGUCAACUAUCAAGUAACUGAAAUGACAAGGAAUUCAACUCCAAGUGCACUAUUCCAAUAUAUCAUUCAUCUUUUUCAUCGAUCCAGAGUUGUUUUGGACAAAAGAAGAUAGAACAAAAGGUGGAAAGGGGAUAUGGGCUGCAUGGGCUCAACAACCUUCAACAUCAAGAAAACCAUCGUGCAGGAGCUUCUUCAAAGGUGUUCGCGACGGCUGUGGCAAGUCACGGUUGAGGUGAUCUACCGUCCGUGUGGAUGGGCCCUUGUCACCCAUUGCAUUGCUUCUUGAAAGACGAGAGCGGGUGAAUUACUGUCAAACGGAAUUUCACUGGGCUGUUGCACUUUCAGAAGUUUUAGCUGUAGGUUUAGUUUUGCUGGACAAUCUUUUGUUUUGAGGAUGGUCACUCUGGAGGGUUUUCAACCUUCUGUGUGGCUGUGUUUCUCUUCAGCUGUGUUGUUUUAAUUUCGAAUAUUUAUGUAAGACUCUAUGGUUUCCUUUAAUGAAGCCAGAGGGAGGCCUCUGUUCUUAAAAAAAAAGACUAGGAGGAGCAAGCGCAAGGAGAAGGAGAUAGGGGCAGAGGGGAAAGUCCCACUCUGCCGUAGUUAAUUAAUACUCCCUCCGUUCCAUAAAGAUUGGCGUGACUUUGAACUAGCUCUAGUUCAAAGCUCUAGUUCAAAGCCAUGCCAAUCUUUUUGGAACCGAGGGAGUAGUACUAUUCAAUUACCAAGGUUAAACAGUCAAGACAUUAUACCACACAUAAAUAACAGCAACAAU
Brachypodium distachyon (stiff brome) is the source of this 907-nucleotide long non-coding RNA. RefSeq lists it as uncharacterized. Lineage: Eukaryota; Viridiplantae; Streptophyta; Magnoliopsida; Poales; Poaceae. The transcript has 3 exons. The record is from RefSeq and is a predicted model, not a curated record.